UUGGCUGGUCAACUAAAGCUGUGACAAUCAUGUAGUGUUUUGCUAGAAAUACUCCAAGAAUUAAGCUGCAGUCUUUUUCCUGUCCCAGUCAAAGGGCUGUACUGUUAAUGUGCAAGGAAUUCCCUUGCAUCACACAUAAUGAAGGGAAGGCAAUACUACCCAGGGCCAGAACAACAGCCCCAGUCAGAAAUGAAGGCUGAGGCUGCACUGGCGGAGUUUAAGCAAGGAUGCUCAAAAGGACUUCUGAAAUUAACUCUGAUUCUUUGCCUAUAGGGUGGGUAUGCAGGUGCACUGGGAACACAGGAUGGAUGAGAUCAGCUGGGCCUGUACUCUGGCUUUGCAGAAAUUCAGGAACUCUGAGGUGGAAAAAAGCCAGUGACCUCCCAACACUGGAAAAGUGAACUCCAGAAGCCUGGGAAAAAGAGUCAGUAAUUCUCAGAGUGCAACACAAGGCUGUCAAGUUCAAUAAAAUGCAGUGAAAAGAAACAGAUUCUCAAAGAUA
Non-coding RNA from Taeniopygia guttata (zebra finch), 502 nucleotides. Lineage: Eukaryota; Metazoa; Chordata; Aves; Passeriformes; Estrildidae. The record is from RefSeq and is a predicted model, not a curated record.